GUAAGAUUGAGCCCUGGCGGGCUCGCUCCUGGUCCCUCCCUCUCAGGGGAGAGAGAGCCUCCCUCCACUGGACAGCAGGAUUGGCCCUACUGGAGGAGGCGGUGGUGGCUUCUACGGGGACAGAUGGCAAUCGGGUACUGAAAGGCCGUUUCUGCCACCACGCUGCCUAUGGCCUGGGGCUUCAUUCAUUCCUUUGCCCCACGCAGUUCCUCGGGCAUUGUUAGGUGUUGUGCCCGACAGCAGGUUCUCACCAAAUCAGCCACAAAAUCUCUCCUUUUCCACUCAAUCUCUUCUCAAAAUAUUUGGACACAUCAGAUACACCAUCGAUUUCAAAUUCUUGCUGGCGCGGUCCCUGAAGCCAUCUGUCCCGAACCAGACUGACAGGCGGCCUUCACCUACCUGGGGCCCAGCUGCCCUCCUGGCACUUCCGUCCCCCAGCACCCUGGGGGCCCUGCCCACUUCUGUGUGUUUUCUACAUCAUGGGUGUUUCUCUUUCAAGAAUAAUCCGCCCCCACCCCCCAGUUUUGGGAUGGAAACAUCCUCUAGUAACUUCCUGAGAAAAGGUGUUUGUAACAGAAGUUAUUUUGAGAACCCA
Long non-coding RNA from Lynx canadensis (Canada lynx), 595 nucleotides. RefSeq lists it as uncharacterized. The transcript has 2 exons. NCBI's taxonomy places the organism in Eukaryota, Metazoa, Chordata, Mammalia, Carnivora, Felidae. The record is from RefSeq and is a predicted model, not a curated record.